AAGUCGUAACAAGGUUUCCGUAGGUGAACCUGCGGAAGGAUCAUUACCAUAUCCAAAAACUUUACCAACCCACCGUGUGAACUGUUGUUUUUUCCUACACUUGGGGUGGACGUGGUGUUAAACAGCCACCAAGCCCCACCUGUAAGAAAUUUUUCCAUGAACCCCUGGUCAAACCAUCCAUUUUAGCUCUGACUUUUUUCUUUUGCGCAUCUCUUGGUAACGAGAGAGGCGUGAAAAAAAAACCAAACCACAAACCAAUAGACAACUUAUGACGGUGGAUCUCUUGGCUCGU
This 292-nucleotide unclassified non-coding RNA is filed under the name fungal sp. Its description in RNAcentral is "partial internal transcribed spacer region". The stretch from base 1 to 46 matches the Rfam family "Eukaryotic small subunit ribosomal RNA", at positions 1786 to 1831 of the family's 1831-position model. The record is from RNAcentral. Lineage: Eukaryota; Fungi.